AGCAGCCGCGGUAAUUCCAGCUCCAAUAGCGUAUAUUAAAGUUGUUGCAGUUAAAAAGCUCGUAGUUGAAUUUCGGGGUUAGUAGAUUGGUCAUGCCUCUGGUACGCACUGGUCUUACUGAUUCCUCCUUCCUGAUGAACCGUAAUGCCAUUAAUUUGGUGUUGCGGGGAAACUGGACUGUUACCUUGAAAAAUUAGAGUGUUUAAAGCAGGCUAACGCUUGAAUACAUUAGCAUGGAAUAAUGAAAUAGGACGUUCGAUCUUAUCUUGUUGGUUUCUAGGAUUGACGUAAUGAUUAAUAGGGAUAGUUGGGGCAUUAGUAUUCAAUUGUCAGAGGUGAAAUUCUGGAUUUAUGAAGACUAACUACUGCGAAAGCAUUUGCCAAGGAUGUUUCAUUAAUACAAGAACGAAAG
RNAcentral lists this ribosomal RNA (412 nucleotides) under uncultured Glomus. Its description in RNAcentral is "SSU rRNA". It matches the Rfam family "Eukaryotic small subunit ribosomal RNA", at positions 569 to 989 of the family's 1831-position model. The record is from RNAcentral. Lineage: Eukaryota; Fungi; Glomeromycota; Glomeromycetes; Glomerales; Glomeraceae.